RNAcentral lists this ribosomal RNA (497 nucleotides) under uncultured bacterium. RNAcentral describes it as "partial 16S ribosomal RNA". It matches the Rfam family "Bacterial small subunit ribosomal RNA", at positions 28 to 507 of the family's 1533-position model. The record is from RNAcentral.
GAUGAACGCUGGCGGCGUGCCUAAUACAUGCAAGUCGAGCGAACAGACGAGGAGCUUGCUCCUCUGACGUUAGCGGCGGACGGGUGAGUAACACGUGGAUAACCUACCUAUAAGACUGGGAUAACUUCGGGAAACCGGAGCUAAUACCGGAUAAUAUAUUGAACCGCAUGGUUCAAUAGUGAAAGACGGUCUUGCUGUCACUUAUAGAUGGAUCCGCGCCGCAUUAGCUAGUUGGUAAGGUAACGGCUUACCAAGGCAACGAUGCGUAGCCGACCUGAGAGGGGGAUCGGCCAAACUGGAACUGGGACACGGGCCAGACUCCUACGGGAGGCAGCAGGAGGGAAUCUUCCGCAAUGGGCGGAAGCCUUACGGAGCAACGCCGCGUGGGUGAUGAAGGUCUUCGGAUCGUAAAACUCUGGUAUUAGGGAAGAACAAAUGUGUAAGUAACUAUGCACGUCUUGACGGUACCUAAUCAGAAAGCCACGGCUAACUACGUG